AUGAAGACCGCAGCUAAAUGCGCGUCACAAUGUGAACUGCAGGACACAUGAACAUUGAUAAGUUGAACGCAUAUUGCACGUCGUGGGAACCUACCAUGAUGUACACAUACUUGAGC
RNAcentral lists this ribosomal RNA (116 nucleotides) under Anopheles hyrcanus. Its description in RNAcentral is "partial 5.8S ribosomal RNA". It matches the Rfam family "5.8S ribosomal RNA", at positions 36 to 150 of the family's 154-position model. From Rfam's summary of the family: 5.8S ribosomal RNA (5.8S rRNA) is a component of the large subunit of the eukaryotic ribosome. It is transcribed by RNA polymerase I as part of the 45S precursor that also contains 18S and 28S rRNA. Lineage: Eukaryota; Metazoa; Arthropoda; Insecta; Diptera; Culicidae. The record is from RNAcentral.